Long non-coding RNA from Pleuronectes platessa (European plaice), 2871 nucleotides. RefSeq lists it as uncharacterized. The transcript has 3 exons. NCBI's taxonomy places the organism in Eukaryota, Metazoa, Chordata, Actinopteri, Pleuronectiformes, Pleuronectidae. The record is from RefSeq and is a predicted model, not a curated record.
AGUUUGGGUAUCUGGCAUGUCUACCGUCCCAAAAACUCUGGAAAAAAAAUCACUCCCGCGAUUUGUUGUGGUUCCUCUAUUUCAGAAACUAUGUGCUAAAGUGCGUCCAAUGGAAUUUCCCCCGAAAUAGACGUCAUAGUCGAAAAAUGCCCAUUUAGUACAUUCCCCCAUAGCUCUAUGCACUCCCCCACUACCACUCGACCCACCCCUAGAUGGACCCUCCCACUUUAUAGAAGCUCGGUCCACCGGUGUCCGCCAUUUCAUUCUUGCAAGCCUUGGAAACACUUGGAUAAGCUAACAGCAGCAUGAAUCGGUGGUCGGCUGCAAACAUGUCUUCAUGUGACUCCAGCUUCAGAAGACACAAGAUUGAGAUGGAUUGAGUUCAUAUAUGAUGGCAACGUUCCUGCCACCACUUUGAAUCAGACUUUUUUAUCAACCUGGGCCAAUAUAACGCUGGAUUCUCUAAAAGGUUGUUAUUGAAAGAGGGGUCGGUGCCAUCUUUCUAUCGCAAUACUGAAAACGAGGGAAAUGCAAGCACAUCUGUUCACGGUGCUAGGCUACAUCACGUAGCAUGCCAGACGGACCCACCAAAGAUGAGCACACAUGGAACGCAGCUUUCUAUGAAAACACUGCGACCUCACUACAAAAGUACAGACAGAGAACUUCUGCUGGGAAAUUCGUGGAGAUCAUACGCUCAACCCUGCAAUCUGUAUCACCACAAAAAGCCUGAACUGAAACAGUUUGUCAAACUGCUGGAGAUAAAAAUACUUCUUCAAUCGGAAUCAAAACUCACCGAUCUUGGAGGGGAACAGCGUCUCAUCAUCCAGCUGAUCCUGCACCCAGGUCAUCAGGUAGUCGAUGUAUUUGGGCGCAGAGCAUUUGAUAGGUUUCUUAAUGUUGGUGCCAUCAGCCCAGUGAUACUCAUAUCUACAGAAAGAGAGCGAAAUGAACUGACACUCUGACACAAAUAUAAAAAGCCCUACUUAUAACAUGUACUAAGAAAACAUCAUUUAGUAGCAGAUAAGCUAAAAAACAGCAGAAGGGGGAAAUGCAAUAGUGUCUACAGUCGCCUAGUUGCUUGCAAAUAUGUCAACAGGAAGUGAACCCUAGUCUCUGCCUCCUGAUUAGAGACUGAAGACAGUCUUGGCUGUAGAGGGGAUAGAGGAAGUGCCGAAUCUAGAUUCUAACUAAACAGCUUCUGCAGCGACCACAUGCUCAGUGUAAUUCCUGUUUUCCUCAUGUGACGUUCAGAUGAUGUCAUUGAAAUUCAUUUACUUUGACCAUCUCUCUUCUAACUUUAAACUAACCCUAACCAGGACCGUAAAUGAGUCCACGACUUGAUUCUUUUAAGUACAUUAUUUCCAAAUCCAGACCUAAAGUUUUUCCAUCACCAACACUCUAUAAUGGUGGUUUUACACUAAAUGUAAUUUAACUAAAAUGGAUAAUAAUAGAAAUAGACAUUAAGGCUGCAAAGUCGCUGCUCAGUUCGAAAUCAUUUUUAAAAUAAGGGAAACAAAAUAGUCCACUGAAUUUACUUUAAAUUCAAUUAGAUUUUAAUUACUAAGUGGAUGUGAUCAGAAAUUAAGUUUCAUUCAGAGUAAGCUUCUGAGGUCAAGAAGAAGUCAUUACAGUUUCAAACAUUAUAACAAGUAAAAAGUGAAGCUCUGAUAACUCAUUAAUAAACUAACAUGCACAACAUUAGUUACUGUUAAAUCCUUAAUUUCUUCAGUUACAGAGACACUGUACUGCAUCAUGUAUAAAAGUAAGGGAAUCUUUUAAUAAUACAAGGUAUUUAUAGCUGUUUUAAGCUCUGUAUAAUUGUGCUGUUUUUUGAUUAUUGACUCGGACUGUUCCUUGUGCUUAUGAUGCAGAGUUAAUCCACAUUUGCACAGUGACGUAAAUUUAUAUUAAUACAGGCAGUGUAUUGACAGCAGACACUAGUCAUAGUAAGCCUAGUGUAACUUAUGAAAUUAACAGUGGGGCUGUUCUACUUAAGUUUCUCAGUAAACCAUGACCAUGUGACAGGAAAGCAGCAUUAAAAACACAAUUCCAUUUUUACGUUCUUCCUACUGUGGCAUGUCACAAUAUAUUCUGUAAAAAAAAAUGUAUAUGGCCUAUUAGAAGCCCUGUAGCCAAAAAGAAGCUCCAAUACCUUGGUCCAGCAGACAUCACAGAGCAGCUGGUCUCAGUGCAGAACUCAGUGAUGGUGCCGUAGAGCAUGUUGAUCUGGUUAAAGAAGUCCACCGCUGAAAGAAUUGUUAACUGUUAUUUUUUGUUCUCCAGUAAUGACAUUUAACAACAAUGAUACUAAUACUAUACAGUCAUAAAAGGUUUUACUUAACCAGGCAACUAGUUGCUUUUUCACUCUGAAGAAUCUUUUAUGUCCUCUCUUUCUUGGAAUUCUCAAGUAUAUAAUCCUGGUUUUGAACAUUUUCUUGAAAUUUUUCUGAAAUGUUACCUGCCAGGACCCCGCAUUAUGUGAGAAUAUAAUGGAAUACUUCACUGUGAACAAGUGGUUGUUGAUAACAUUUCUAACACAUGAAAAACAAAUAAAACUGGAUGAAUACAAAUAUCUCAGGAAGAAAAAGAUGUGACAGACACAACGAAGACACCAACUAUGAAAUGAGGUUGGUGAGAAGGGCAAAAGCUGUUAUUAAUGUUCAGUAAACAAUUUUUUUCAAAGUGGUGUAACUUAUACAUCACGACCUGCCUCUAGCACGCUUUUGCACAGGUCCUGCUGCACUCUUCAAAUGUGUGAAACUUUUGAAAAUGUCAUGACCCAAUUAACCAGACAUUUCAUAUCUGACCACGACUUGAGUGAUUCAUAAGCGAAUCUUAAUCUUGUUGGGCUUUAAUAAACAGUUGACUGUG